This is a long non-coding RNA of Ostrea edulis (European flat oyster), 2010 nucleotides long. RefSeq lists it as uncharacterized. Lineage: Eukaryota; Metazoa; Mollusca; Bivalvia; Ostreida; Ostreidae. The transcript is spliced from 3 exons. The record is from RefSeq and is a predicted model, not a curated record.
UCAACUUUUCUAAAUAAUCUCUUAAUUCACAAUUUACCACAAUUAAUGUACACGCAUUCUGAUUCAAAAUUAGAAUAAAAAUUACAGGAUCUUUUCAAAAUCAAAAUGACACCCCUCAUCAGCUUCCUUUAAAAUGUAACUCAGUGUAAAUGCAAUGAGAAUCAUUAAUUUAGCGUCUUCACAUUGAUUUAGACGUGCAAUUAAGCGGGGAGAAAGAACGAACAAAGUACGAUACUACUCAUACAGUUAAUGGUGUAAUUUGGCGCAUAAAUUGAAAUGUUAUUGAAAGGAGUUUAAGACCUAGAAGACUUGCGUUAAUAAUUCAUCCACACAUCUCAAAAAGUCUAUUCAGCCGUGACAGGUGAUCCAAGAUUUUGACCUAGAUAAGAGCGGGAACCCCGUACAGUUUACAACGGACGUUUAUGACCACGAGACUGAGGCAUUUUAUGACAUACUUCGGCUUUAAUGCUGAGAGUUAUCUGUUUCUCCUGGUCUGCCUUUUGAAGAAAGCUGUCCCAGCAUACAUUAAUUGUCAAUAUUUGCAUAUUUAUUUUUUCUAUGUAUAAAAUGAUGACAGACCAUAUUUUCCCCGCAUUUGCCACGGGAUCUGCAAGCCGCCAGGUAAGGCCCGGAAUAUCGCUGAUUUUUUUUUUUUUUUAGAUAUUGGAAUUAUUGCCCGGUUGGAUUUAUUUUGGACUACACUAUCAAAUUCAUUGGCAUGAGCUGUGAUAGGACUAUUUUUCAUCUGCAUUACCAGUUAAUGUGUCCUGGUGUUUUCAUCGGAUCGAAAAUAACAAAAAUCACAAAUUCGUUUCAUUUGAAGUAUUUUAAUUAUCAAAUCCUUUAUUUCUAAUAAGAUAUAAUGAGACGUAUAAAAUUGAAUAUUCAUGUUCUGUUGACUUUUUAAAUGUAGUUUGAUAAUACAGUUGUUGUUUGUUUAUUCGUUGUUUGUUUUCGAAUUUUGAAAUCGUUUGUAUAGCCAUUGUGUGUUUUUAUAUAUUCAUUAAUAUGAAUGUUUUAAUACGUGUCUUGUGUUGUUGUUUCAUACCUAAUUCUACACCAGCAUCUGUGUGUUGUAUCUCCAGCAUCCAUGCCUCUAACACUUACCCCACGGUAACUAAUCUCGCUGUGACAAUGUUCGAACAUGUUUAUAAAUGUUACAUUCAAAUGCAAUAAAGUAAAGAUGUGGGUAAACUAGGUGGUGGUGAUGAAGUUCGUUGUUUAGUUGUCUGUGACGUGUGCAUUGGUGAAUUGGCCGGGUACGCAGAUAAUCUGUGACGUCAUACUGAAUCUAACUUGGAAUGAAAAGAAUUGAGACUGAUCUUCAAUCUUACAGAAAAUGAGACGAGAAAUCUGUUUAUUACUCGUUCUGUCCCUUCUCGGACAAUCACUAUCACAAACCACCACUGGCACGUGGGGAGUUGCUGACACUAUCGGCAGAUUUGUUGGUAGUUAUCCUCUGCUGGCACUGGCAGGAAUUGCUCCAUUUUUAGCCGCUAACAGCUUAGGGCCGAAUCCCUCUGGGUUAGGGCUAAGCAGACCGCCAUUUCCACCACCACCACCAUUCUUCAGAAGGCGAAUGUUUCCCAUGAUGCCAUUUAUCGGCCGUCCGCCGCCCCCAAUUGUUAUCAUACGACGAGGUUAACAAACGUGCGGCUGACGUGAAUCAUUCAACCGAGACAAGGAACUGAUUCAUUUUCUGACGUACUUCCGGUGUACAUUUCAUCACACUUGCGUCCUGUGUCAACUGUUUGAUUGGUGGAGUUGUGUUAUAUCAAUAUUUAUACAUUUCUUUCUAUCCUAAAAGAAAGCUAUAAUUUUACACUGUAUACGUCACUCUAUUUUUGGGCUGUCUUGUAUUACGCAAAAAUCUUCUGUAUAUUAUAUACAAUUGUUAACCGCGAGUCUAUCGGGCAUUAUAUUUCGCUGUUGUAAUUUUAUGACAGUCCUAAAUGUAUUAUGCACACAUUUCAAAUUGAAAUUUGUUGUGAAAUAAAUAUUUUAUAAAAC